RNAcentral lists this ribosomal RNA (224 nucleotides) under Gammaproteobacteria bacterium. Its description in RNAcentral is "partial 23S ribosomal RNA". It matches the Rfam family "Bacterial large subunit ribosomal RNA", at positions 2707 to 2925 of the family's 2925-position model. Lineage: Bacteria; Pseudomonadati; Pseudomonadota; Gammaproteobacteria. The record is from RNAcentral.
CUCUGGUGUUCCGGUUGUCACGCCAGUGGCAUUGCCGGGUAGCUAUGUACGGACGGGGUAACCGCUGAAAGCAUCUAAGCGGGAAGCCUCCCCCGAGAUGAAGUCUCCCAGGACCCUUGAGGUCCCUAAAGGUCCGUCGAAGACGACGACGUUGAUAGGCUGGGUGUGGAAGCACAGCAAUGUGUGUAGCUAACCAGUACUAAUUGACCGUGAGGCUUGACCAU